UACGGAGGGUGCGAGCGUUGUCCGGAAUCAUUGGGCGUAAAGGGCGCGUAGGUGGCCCGGUCAGUCCGUGGUGAAAGCGCGGGGCUCAACCCUGCGUCGGCCAUGGAUACUGCCGCGGCUGGAGCACUGUAGAGGCAGGCGGAAUUCCGGGUGUAGGCGGUGGAAUGCGUAGAGAUCCGGAAGAACACCGGUGGCGAAGGGCGGCCUGCUGGGCCAGUGGGGAGGACC
RNAcentral lists this ribosomal RNA (228 nucleotides) under uncultured bacterium. RNAcentral describes it as "partial 16S ribosomal RNA". It matches the Rfam family "Bacterial small subunit ribosomal RNA", at positions 524 to 747 of the family's 1533-position model. The record is from RNAcentral.